This is a non-coding RNA of Phalacrocorax carbo (great cormorant), 4289 nucleotides long. Lineage: Eukaryota; Metazoa; Chordata; Aves; Suliformes; Phalacrocoracidae. The record is from RefSeq and is a predicted model, not a curated record.
UUCAGGGCUGUGCCGAGACAGAGUCCAGCCAAAACAGUGCUUUGCAGAAGAUCUCGCUCGCCGGACCGAGACAGUAGUUGCUCAAAUUUAUUUUCUUUUUGAAAAUGUGCCUGUAAGGGAAUAGGGGAGGGUGGAAGAGCAUAUUUAUCAGAAUACCAGAAGACACCUUUCUCGAAACAAAGGCAAGGGGGAAUCAUCUCAAUUGCAAAUCCGUCAGGCAGGGACCAAAUAACAAUAUUUAUAGGAAGGCAUUCAAAACCACAAUGUGCUUAAAUAACAGCAACAAAUGCCUGCUACAGUUGCUGCAGCGCAGCUUAAUAAAAAAUUAGCCUUAGUGACAGUCUUGUCAACAUCUUAAGUAAAUUAUCAUAGCGCUGGUCUUUGGAGAAGAGAAGCCACACUCCUUGCUAAAACACCUCCUAUCAUUAAUCUUAAACCACUUGAAGAUUAUGAUGGGAAGAACGGGAUCAGUAACCAUUAUAAUCGCAAAUUGCUGUUAAAAACUCCGCUGUUUAUUUUUGCAACCAAAGCGAAUGUAUCUGGGAAAUGCAGAAAAGGGAAGAAAGGAAAACACACGAAAGGCAGAACAAUUGAGGCGAAUCCUGUUGCAACCUCGAUGAUAAACACAUGGAAAAAGCUGUUACUGCUCUGUGGAUUUGAUGGAAUUUGGGUAGACAGUAGAAAAAUAAACAAAACGAUGGCUCCGCACCAGUUCUGUAAAUGCACCGGUACACUCGAGGAAAGGGUUUGUCAGAGAGGGAGAAUCUGCUGGUUUAGGGACACCCGACCUGGAAUGUUAUCAACGGAUCUUUACACCUUCAAUGAAUCCGCAAAUCGAUGUGAGCUGGGCACACGUCUGAAUACAAUCAAACCCAGGCAGCAAAAUACUGGUUUUAGAAGACCGUGAGUUAGUUUCCCGCAUGCUGAUACGAUUAAUUUAGGUGCGGAGGUCACAGAUCCGAGGGAGAAGGAAACGGCUGAUUUCGCCAGAAAACGCUUCCCCGGCGCAGCCCGCGCCCAGCCUCCACCCAAGGCAGGCCCAGUGCUGUUUUGCUCCUGCACCAUCCUGCGCGGAGCGCCCGUCCUGCUCCCCUCCACCGAGUUCCCUGAGCACACCGGGUGGCCGAGCACCUUCUCAAGCCAGUGGCGUGCCGUGCUCGGGUCCCUUCAUCUUAAAUAAAAACAAAGCCAGCAGCUUAACAAGGAAUAACGUGGUCCCAGAGUGAAACUCCGCUCGCUCUGUUUAUGUUGUACAAGUCUACACGGGCCCUCACAUUCUAGCUAUUUGAAAUGAUGUGUAACUAGGAGGAGGUCACAGGUGACUGGCAAGUUCAACGUACUUAGCUCAAUUAUCCAAGUUCCAUUUCCAAAUUGUGUUCAAUUUGAUCUUCCUGCCUCCAUCCAAAUUAUCUUAGAGAAAAAAAAAAAUCAAAUGAAAGCAGACAAUUUAAGCCAAAUCCUGUACACCAUUAUUUAUAUGCAAAAUCAUUUUUGUGAUAUAUACUCCCCUUAAUGGUUAUGGGAUGCCAGAUCUUUCCAAGCGGAUUUACAAACCCAGCCAUCAAAUUAUUUCAAGGGCAGGCCUAUUAGGGACAAAAAUAAUUAUGAACUUUCAGAAGCUUUGUGAAAAAAUAAGUUUCUGAAUGUUGUCUCUUUAAAUUUUACUUAAGUUUUGGUUUUAAUUUAAGCCUGGAGGCACAGUAGAGUCUAAUAAGGAGUUUGGAAAAUAAUGCGCUGUAAUCCAGUGCUGAGCUAUUUCUCCAUAAAAUAUGGAUAAGGAAUCAAUUCAUAAGCGCAAAUAUCUACUAGGACUGAGUUUUAACAUAACAUUUCACAUGAGCAUUCUUACAUGCAUUAUUAAGGAGAUAACAAAAGUGCUUGAAAUCAAGCUCUAUACAGUCACAUCUGGAAAUGCUCUUUUCUGUCUAAUUUUCAUUUUUCUGCCUUGAAAAAAUGUUAGAAGAAAAACUAGUCUGUCCCCUUGUAUAUUAACUGUUACCAUCAGCUUUUAAUCAGCAACAUAUAUAGUUAGAUUUACAGAAUCCAUUCCAUGUUGCCCCUUUUAAAGAACAGUAAAAUGAAGAUAGUAUCUUUAUUCAUUUAUAGGAGCUGAUGUUAAAACCAAAACCACACACGAAUAGCACAUACAUUGCUUUACACAUACAGACAGGCGUGUAGAUACGUAGGCACAGAACACUUAACACAUGGAAGGACGUCACGGCCAUGUGGUGGAAACCAUAACAAAAAGUACCUGUGCGUUUCACCAGACCCUAAGCCAGACAUCAGCAGAUAAGAAGUGGUCUCCGGCAAAUUAGUUUAAAAUCAGACACAGCUAAUUUCUGGAGGUGUUGGAACUCUAGCAAGCUUUGCUGCACGAUGAUUAAUCGCUGUCUGUUUCAAAGGAAGCUCUUAAGGCUUUUCAGUCAAAGAAAGGAUUACCACUAAGCAAUGAAGGGUUAACAAACGCCCCGCAGGUCGCAAAGAGUUGAUAUGGGGUUUUGGAUUUGGGUUUGGGUUUGUUUGGUUGUUGGUUGUUUUUUUUUGCUAAUGUAUAAUUUAAUGGAAUUAUAUUCUGAGGACAAAGAUAAAAAAAGUCUCUAAGAUCUGCUACUACUUUUUUUUAAAAAAAAAAUAAUUAUAUUUUUCCUUUGAAUGGAAAGGCAAGCAAAGUAUUUUCCAAACAAAAUCAGCAAAGAUUAUUUAGAAGAGAAACCGAAAGCACUGUUUUUUUUAAAUACUCUGGAGUUUUCUGAAGAACUCUGAUGUACUCACAUUCUUAUCACAACUAUUUUCCUUUUACUAUUGUAAGUGGAUAUUCAAGCUAAAUUGAUGCUUUAUGUAUAUCCUGUCUCAAUUUGUAACACACUAUUCUUUGUAAGGAGAUAAUUUGAAAAAAAAAAUACAAAAAAGAAGCAGCGAUACCACUGACAACAAUUUACUUAAAUUCACAAACCUUGAAAUUGAUGCAUCUCCUAUCAAUCAUAGUCAGAAGCCACAGUAAAACACAUCCAACAUUUGUAUAUCAAAACUGGGACUAAAAAAACACCCUGUUUUGUUCAAUUUAAAUGUCCUUCAACAUGUUGUCAUUUUACACGCCGAUAUUACUGGGGUAUUUCUACUAUGGGUUAGCUUUCUUCUGUCAAACAUAUGCAGGACAGUAACCUUGCAAAAUUAAAGUGCAUGCCAUUAUACUGCACAGAUGUUUGUUCUCACUCAGUUACUGACAAUGAAAUACUUAUUAAAUAAUAAUAAGGAGAUAUUGACUUCUCUAUUCUGUCGAUAUGAAGAUCUGUUGAUCUGUGAGGUUAAUAUUGAUAGGGCAGAGUGAGGUAAACAUUUCAUCAGGAGGGCAAAUAAAACCCAAUACUGGCAUAAAAAACAUAAACCCCGCAACGUUGUACGUAGACAGAAACAAAUCCUUUUCGUAUUUAUUGGGUAUACCAGCAGCAGUUCAACCUAUCAGCCCACGCAAGUUAAGGCUGAAGUUCUCCACACCCCGUUCAGGAAACAUAUUCCAAAAAUGUCUAUCACAGGUAUUUAAAACUGAGCUCAAAUGAUGCCGAGCGCUUGGGGUCUUUAGCCAUGCUGCACGUUCUGUUGCGAAUGGCACGUUUCCUUUAAGUCUUACUGGAAGGCUCUACAUACAAGCUCAAUGUUCUUCACAUGAAGGGGAUUUAUAUUUGAGCUGGAGAAUUGCUUUUUUUUUUUUUUUAAUAGGAUGAGCUCUCUGUCAAAGUAUUAUUUUCAUUUGUUGCCUCAUCAAGAUGUCACUGCAAGUUCCCUCUCUUUACCCUCUGCCACAGAACACAAUAGUGUACAUGAGUCGAACAAUACAAAGAGCCAUUUAACUUGAUGUCUGGCAGAAGAAGCUACUUUCUUGUUCAUUAUUAUCUUUAGAUUUUCCUUCAUUCUGUUUAAGGGAAGCUCAGGGUUGUAUGUUUUAGAAGAAUAUUCCAUCAGUCAGGUAGGUCUCAUACUCUGACAGCAUUAUUUCAGCAUGUUGUUUUUAAUGUAUGGCACUUGUACACGUAAGCAAUCUGUGUAACUUGCUUCUGGGCUUUUGAACAGAAAUUAAAGACGUGACCUAACACGUAAGACAAUAAGAGGCCAUACGUUUUUUGGAUACAAGCGCCAGAAGAGAUACUUGUCAAUUUUCCCCUUUUGAUUAUUAAUUAAGGCCUCGAUCCUGCUAUUAGAUCUGCAGGGGCAAAACACGCAUGCAGAGCAGCUCUCCCCAUAGUGUGACUGUUGGCAAGAGAAGCGCUCAGUCACACAGGGCUUACUGUGAC